GCGUUCGUGGUGUAAUGGUCAGCAUGGAUGCCUUCCAAGCAUUCGACGGGGUUCGAUUCCCCCCGAACGCA
Molecule: non-coding RNA, 71 nt
Organism: Caenorhabditis tropicalis
Lineage: Eukaryota; Metazoa; Nematoda; Chromadorea; Rhabditida; Rhabditidae
Source: Rfam